UACGUAGGGCGCAAGCGUUGUCCGGAAUUAUUGGGCGUAAAGAGCUCGUAGGCGGUCUGUCGCGUCUGCCGUGAAAACCCGAGGCUUAACCUCGGGCUGGCGGUGGAUACGGGCAGACUAGAGGUAGGUAGGGGAGAAUGGAAUUCCCGGUGUAGCGGUGAAAUGCGCAGAUAUCGGGAGGAACACCGGUGGCGAAGGCGGUUCUCUGGGCCUUACCUGACGCUGAGGAGCGAAGCGUGGGGAGCGAACAGG
Molecule: ribosomal RNA, 252 nt
Filed under: uncultured bacterium
Lineage: Bacteria
Description: partial 16S ribosomal RNA
Rfam family: Bacterial small subunit ribosomal RNA
Source: RNAcentral